This 409-nucleotide ribosomal RNA is filed under the name bacterium. RNAcentral describes it as "partial 16S ribosomal RNA". It matches the Rfam family "Bacterial small subunit ribosomal RNA", at positions 355 to 776 of the family's 1533-position model. The record is from RNAcentral.
UGGGGAAUAUUGCACAAUGGGCGAAAGCCUGAUGCAGCGACGCCGCGUGAGGGAUGACGGCCUUCGGGUUGUAAACCUCUUUCAGUAGGGACGAAGCGCAAGUGACGGUACCUGCAGAAGAAGCACCGGCUAACUAAGUGCCAGCAGCCGCGGUAAUACGUAGGGUGCGAGCGUUGUCCGGAAUUACUGGGUGUAAAGAGCUCGUAGGCGGUUUGUCACGUCGUCUGUGAAAUCCUAGGGCUUAACCCUGGACGUGCAGGCGAUACGGGCUGACUUGAGUACUACAGGGGAGACUGGAAUUUCUGGUGUAGCGGUGGAAUGCACAGAUAUCAGGAAGAACACCGAUGGCGAAGGCAGGUCUCUGGGUAGUAACUGACGCUGAGGAGCGAAAGCAUGGGUAGCGAACAGG